Molecule: long non-coding RNA, 1888 nt
Organism: Dalotia coriaria
Lineage: Eukaryota; Metazoa; Arthropoda; Insecta; Coleoptera; Staphylinidae
Exons: 3
Source: RefSeq, a predicted model, not a curated record
UGUUUAUUAGAUUUGGGUUAGUUCCAACGUUGGAAAAAACUUUCUAUUGUAUUUUUUUGUGUUUUGUGUUUAGUUUAUUUAUAUUAUUGUUGUUUUAUUUAUUAUUUGCGUUUUUUUGUUUGGUAAGAGUUUUACUAUAGGCAACCAGUUGCACACAUACACAACCUGCAUUGCACAAUGACUAAACAUAGAAAUUGAAUGUAACAUUUACUUUUCUAGAAGUUUCUUGAAUUUAUUGGCAAGUUGCAUUAAAUUGUUACAUCAAAACACUUUGUGAAGCAUUUAUACUAGUUAAAGAUGCUUAUUUUGCUGUAGAAGUGUUAAAUUCAAGUAAGUUUUGUAAAAAAUUUACGAAUGUCAUUCAAAUAACCUUAAAAUUGUCAUGUCAAAUGCAGCAGUUGUGUGUGUAUCACUAUAGGCAACCCACAUCACGCUUUACGCUCCACAACCACUAUAAAAACAACGCAGUUAUUUUCCAACGCAUAAAAUUCAUCUUUACCUGCAUCAAACGCGCUACAUUUCGACCGCCGUCGUUGUUUCAUUGUCUUCAGAUAAUAAUCCAUUGUAUCACCCAGUUUGUCUUUAAUUUUAACUUAAUUCACGCACUAAUCUAACCUUAAAUAUUUAUUUUAAAGUUAAAAAACACUACAAAAAUCAUGUAAUAUUGACUGCACUUCGUAAAAACCACGUUGAAACUAUUAUUAUUCUGUUUAUCGACUCAGCGUAGGCUGAGUUAAAAGUGAUAAGAACAAAAAGCAAUAUUUGGCAUUUGGUGUUUAUUGUGCAACGCACACCUGUUCGCAAAAGAUGAUAACACAUAAAUGCAAAUGAAUAAUAAUCAAUACAGACGUUUAUGUUAAUUUAUUUAUUUAUUAUGUUAACAUUCUUCAACAAAAACUGAGUCAAGUUAAUAUCUUAUUCAAAAAAUAAAAUGUUUUAAACCUUUGACCCUUCGUAAAAUAAUUCGUCGGCAUUUCUGUUGAUUAUUUUCACGGUCACACGUGUCUAUAAUUCCAGUGCUAAUAAUAAGCACGUUUGGUUGCCUGCCUUAAACGCCAGAAUAUAAUAACAGUGAUUUCAACUCUCAACAGUUUUUGUGUUUUGUGUGCAUUGCUAUGAAUGCGUUCGCGAAGGGUGAGACAGCAGAGUAUGGGGAGAGUGUGGGUCGUGACUGGCCUGUGUGCGCGCGCACACACACCGCUGUAGUGCAUCAAUUAACCGCCGUCGACGCGCCGUUUGACAGCCGACACGUUUUGCUUUUAACCCGCCCGCCUCCUCCUUCAUAAAUAAAUCCGCGCGCCCGGUUCAUGCAUAUUCACCGGGCGCUAAUGAAAGUUUCACCGCGCGCGCACACCCCCACCAUCGCGUCAUUGAUGCAGUUUGCGAUCUCUAUCAGCGCGCUCGUCACGUCCACUGACAGCCGACUGACAUCUUGACACUGCUACAUUCGCCGACUGCAGCCGAAUGCACUGUGUGAGGUUAGGUUUAUAAAUGCAUCAAUUUCAAUUAGCAGAGAGCGAGAGAGCGGUGGACAGACGUCGACCCGGCUGGCAUAUUAUAUCGUUUUCCAUUUGCGAUUUACUCGAUUUGCUGCAUUAUCGUAAAUUACGCGCAGUCACUCUCACACUCGGCGGUUGGUAUAUAUGCAACCCAAUGUACAUGUGACUGAAUGUGUGGAAAUGGAAACAUCACAAGUGCAUCACAACUGCAUCGCAAAUUAAUGAAUAUUCAGCGUGGAUUUGCGUUUAAAAAGUUAUAUUUACCCGCACGGAUGUCAUUUUGUUUGACACCAUUGGUGGCCAUCUUUUUCGUAUAUAAAACACUAUAGUGACGCACAGUGUGCUCUUGAAGUGGUAGAAGUGGACUGAAGCAGAAUGUUGAUCACGAC